RNAcentral lists this long non-coding RNA (465 nucleotides) under Sorghum bicolor (sorghum). Its description in RNAcentral is "long non-coding RNA (SBIC_LNC007464)". The record is from RNAcentral. Lineage: Eukaryota; Viridiplantae; Streptophyta; Magnoliopsida; Poales; Poaceae.
UGCAGAUUCAUGAUAGGAUCCUCAACAGAAGCAGUAAAGUUCAUUGCUGGAACGAAUGGCAUAUUGGCAUGCUGAACAAAUGGAUUGUUGGAGGGGUAGUUAACAGAUUGGUAGAAGGAUGCAUUUGUGUUGGCAAGGUUGGUCAUAGGUGCUUUGACGACAGGCUUCUGUUCAACACUUGACUUGGGUGCUUUAGCAGAAGCUGAGCCAGAACGGCGCUUCUGACCAACUGCUGGUGCAUCAGGAAAGUUAACCUUGGCCUUCUUGCCACGAAUCCUGCGUGCUUCAGCAUCAUAAGCUCUUGCAGCUUCCUCAGGACUAUUGAAAGUACCAAGCCAAACACGAACACCCUUCUGAGGAUCUCUGAUCUCAGCAGCCCACUUGCCCCAAGGGCGCUUGCGGAUACCCCUGUAUUGAUUCUUUCUCUUCCUUUUGGCUGACCUUGCAACAGGGGCAUCAUAAUCA